UAAAAACCCCUGUCCUAGCCUACUCGGUGUGCUCUUGCGAUUGCAUCAGAUGCAAGCAGCACCCUUCCGCAGAAGUAAAGUUGCCUUGCUGAAGAAUUUUUGGUCUAAGUGCUGGCUCUUCUUUGUGGACCAAACACCUGUCUCCAACAAUCUGGGGGCUUGUCUGGGAUUCCAUUAUCCUCCAGGGAAGGGUCUCCGAUCAUCUCUCAUGAGGAGACACAUCCUGCUGCCUUGUCACAGUUGCCUCAGGAGUAAGGGAUCGAGACCCAUCUGGCAUGACGAAUAAACCCGGACUCUCAGCAAUGCAGAGAAAGAAAAAGUCUACAAAUAAAUACAGUGGCAACCAGGUAACUCUGAGCACAGACCAAGGACUCAAGGCCUCCUAGCACAAACUCCACCCCUUGAAUUCCCAGUUCACCAACACCAACCCAGAGAUCACGUCCUUAUCAAAAGCUGGAAAUAGGGAAAGCUCGAACCCACCUGGGAAGGACCUUAUUUGGUGCUCCUAAUGACUGAGACGGCAGUCCAGACCGCUGAAAAGUGGUGGACCCAUUAUACCAGAGUCAAAAAAGCAUUGCCCUCUCCAGAAUCAUGGACUGUCACUCCAGGAACAACAGCCUCAAAAUCAACAUUCAAGUGGGUUUAAUCUAUCUUUUUCUUCUCUCCUUAGCUACUCAAGGAUAUCUUAUUAUCAGUGUAACUCAAUCACCCUUUCCCCAAACAGUUACAUUUGAUGCUUGUCUAGUCUUACCUUGUGGAGAUCUUCAAAGUCAAAGGCAGCUAGCCUCUGCAGAAAAAUACCCCUGUCCCUCCAAGGAAAACACUACUACUACUGUGUCUUGUGUGUGGUGGGAAUCUUCAGAGGAAGAGUCAGGUAAUUGGGAGUUAUGUUCACAGUGGGCAGACGUUCUAUGGACUACUAAAAAUCAGGGUUGGACCUCCUGACAGGGUUGCACUGCCCUAAAGCCACACCUACACUUCACCAAAGGGACUACCCCCUCUAAUUGCCAAUCUAACCAUUGCAACCCAGUACUUAUCUCUAUUAAUACCCUUACCUUCACCAUUCCCACACCCACUGUAGAGCGAUUUUAUGGCUAAGGGGCAGAUGUUGCUGGAAGGGACCCUAUAGGCUUCUUUAAAUUAUGCUUUGUUCCUUCCCCUUCGUCUCCCACCCCCUCCUCGAUCCCACAAAUUCAAACCAUUUCCCACCUCAUACCCAACGACAAAACCAAAGUAUCGUAAUAGAAAUCAAAAAUUUAAAGCAAACUUUAGCCAUUGAAAUAGGGUACCAAGAUGCAAAUGCCUGGCUGGAAUGGAUUAAAUAUUCUGUCCACACACUACACAAAAGCGAUUUUUAUGCUUGUGCGACAGGCAGGCCAGAAACCCAAAUUGUCCCCUUUCCUCUGACCAACCGGGCAUGGACUGUAUGUAUGGUAGCCCUCUUCCAAAACCCCACAGCCUGGGGCAAUAAGGCAUGUCUAACCCUCUCCCUACUAUUCCCAGAAGUUAAAAGCCCUGCAGGUCUGCCCCUGAGGGCCAUUCGGACUCCGGCUACAAAUGUCAAUUUCACCUCGUGUCUCUCAUGGCAUGGGGAAAACUUGGCAUUCCUUAGGAGCUUAACAGGGUGCAGCACACCUAAGCCUUUUCAAGAGCUAACCAAUCAGUCUGCCCUUGUUCAUCCCUAAGCAGAUGUAUGGUGGUAUUGCGGUGGACCACUAUUGGGUACUCUGCCAAGUAACUGGAGCAGCACUUGUGCUCUAAUCAAAUUGGCCAUCCCUUUCACCCUGGAAUUUCAUCAACCAAACAAAAAGGACAACUACAGAAAAAGAAGUGUCCCCCAUGGGUCUUUUGACCCUCAUGUUUAUAUAGAUGCUAUCGGAGUUCCCCGAGGGGUGCCCAGUGAAUUUAAAGCCUGAAAUCAAAUUACCACAGGAUUUGAAUCUGUAUUAUUCUGGUGGUCAACUACAAACAAACAUGUAGACUGGAUAAAUUACAUUUACUAUAAUCGACAGCGGUUUGUCAAUUACACAAGCGAUGCCAUUAAAGGAAUAGCUGAGAAAUUAGGCCCCACCAGCCAAAUGGCUUGGGGAAACAGGAUAGCCCUUGACAUGUUAUUGGCUGAAAAAGGCAGAGUCUGUGUCAUGAUUGGAGUCCAAUGUUGCACUUUUAUCCCUAUUAACACAGCCCCUAAUGGAACAAUUACAAAAGCAUUACAGGGCCUUACAAGUGAAUUAGCUGAAAAUCCCGGAAUAAAUGGCCCCUUUUCAGGUCUUAUGGAAAAAUGGUUUGGAAAAUGGAAAUGACUCAUGACCUCAAUAUUUACUUCUCUUGCAGUUGUUACAGGUGUACUCAUUCUUGUAGGUUGCUGUAUUACACCUUCUGUUCAUGGGUUGGUGCAAAGGCUUACAGAAACAGCUCUUACUAAAACCUCCCUCAAUUCUUCCCCACCCUAUUCAGAUAAACUCCCACUUCUAGAUCACCAAGAGGAACAACAGAGCCAAAUUAUGUUUGAAAAAUUUGAAGAGGAAAAACUAUAAAGAGGGGGGAUAUUGCCAGAAACAAUAAGUUCCUCUUCAAACUUCGUUGUUCUUUCUGGUUCUGUAAACAACCCUUCCCACCUAAUUGGUAACAGGAACAGCCUCUCCCUUCCUGCCUAAUAGGCCCUAUUCAAUUUCAAACAAUAGCCAAUCGGGUUUAGAUUGUGUGGUCCAACUCUAGUUACUGGGGAAAGGACACAGAAACAUGAGCUGCAUUAGGGGUAAAAACCCCUGCCCUAGCCCCCUUGGUGUGCUCUUGCAAUUGCUUCAGAUGCAAGUAGCACCCUUCUGCAGAAGUAAAGUUGUCUUGCUGAGGAAUUUUCAGUCUAAGUGCUAGUUCUUCUUUGUGGCACCCAACACCUGUUCCCAACAAUGAGAAUAUCAACAAAUAGAAAAUAUAACAAAGAACCAAACAGAAAUGAAGAUAAAGAUACAAUAAUGAAAAUUAAAAAUUCACUGGAAGUGUUUGACAUAUUAUUUGAUUCCAUUCUUCCUAAAUAUGAUUUCAAUCUUCUUAAAUGUAUUCAGUCCUGUUUUGUGACCUAUCCUGGAAAUAUGUGAUGUGAUCUAUCCUGGAGAAUGUUCUGUGUGCACUUGAGAAGAUUACAUAUUUUUCUUUUGUUAAUUGAAAAAUUCUGUAUAUGGCUAUUACAUCAAUUUAAAGUCCACUAUUUUGUUAUUGAUUUUCUAUCUGGAUUUUCUAUUUUUUAUUGAAAGUGGGGUACUGAAUUAUUCUACCAUUACACUAUUGCUGUCCAUUUCUCCUUUCAGAUAUUUUGAUAUUUGUUCUAUAUACUUAGGUAGUCUAAUAGUA
Molecule: long non-coding RNA, 3351 nt
Organism: Homo sapiens (human)
Lineage: Eukaryota; Metazoa; Chordata; Mammalia; Primates; Hominidae
Source: Ensembl